This 910-nucleotide long non-coding RNA is filed under the name Homo sapiens (human). RNAcentral describes it as "HSALNT0008393". The record is from RNAcentral. Lineage: Eukaryota; Metazoa; Chordata; Mammalia; Primates; Hominidae.
UUUUUAAAUACUGUCUCCAAAGAUUAAAUUGUAAUUCCUAUUUGCAUGACUUUUACUUAUCUUUUCCCCUUCAAAACAAAUUUGUCAUAUAGAAUCAGAGUGUGGCUACAUUUGAAGAAUUAGAGAUCACUCUUUUUAACCUAUUAUUGAUGAAUAUAAAUACAUAUUAAAAAUAAGAAUACAAAAAUCAUAUUUAUCAACACAUUAGGAUAGAUUUUUCACUGACAACUACAUUUAAAUGAUAACUAUUUUGGUUUUGGACUCCCAAACAAAACAUUUAGAAUGGAACCUCUAUUUGUACUUUUUUUCUUAAAUAGCAAAUGAUCAGCUUCCAAGUCCCCUUGCAAUGCAGACUAUUUAGGAGGCUCCCCCACCCCAUGCUAACUUGUAUUAAUACUUGCUUUCCAUUGGCUUCCUCACUGUCUGGAAUUAGACAGUACAAGUUAUUCUCCUUCAUGAAUGAGGCUUCAACUAGUAGAAAAAUUCUGAAAGCUUAGUGACUAUCAAAUACAGGCAUUGUUUUGAAAUUGCAGUGUUUUAUGGAAAAACAUAUAACUUUCAUUUGAAAAUUACUUUAAAACAAUUUUGAAAAUAUAAAUUUCAAUAAUGUAAAACAUUCUGAAGUUUAUUAAGGACUGAAUACAUUAUCUCACUGAAUCUCCCCCGCAUUAAUCCUACUAGGUAGGCAUCAUUUCUACCACUUUACUAUGAAAUAACUAAAGUUUACAGGUCAAGUAAUUUGACUUAAUGAUUAGGAUACAGUCCCAAAUCCUGACUAUGAGAUACAAAGUCCACAGACCCCUAUCUACUUCCAUAGCACCAUCUUCCCCACCAUCUUGCGGGCAUCAUCCCCUCCAGCUAUACUCAGUUAUUCCUCAGUGCUCUAUCUGGCCCCCAGCCAUUGCCCCAU